AUUGAACGCUGGCGGCAUGCCUUACACAUGCAAGUCGAACGGCAGCACGGGAGCAAUCCUGGUGGCGAGUGGCGAACGGGUGAGUAAUACAUCGGAACGUGCCCAGUAGUGGGGAGUAACCCGGCGAAAGACCGGAUUAAUACCGCAUACGACCUGAGGGUGGAAAGGACGGGGGAGUCGCAAGACCUCGCGCUAUUGGAGCGGCCGAUGUCAGAUUAGCUAGUUGGUUGGGGAAAGGACCUACCAAGGCUACGAUCUGUAGUUGGUCUGAGAGGACGACCAGCCACACUGGGAC
This 295-nucleotide ribosomal RNA is filed under the name uncultured bacterium. RNAcentral describes it as "partial 16S ribosomal RNA". It matches the Rfam family "Bacterial small subunit ribosomal RNA", at positions 30 to 319 of the family's 1533-position model. The record is from RNAcentral.